Molecule: small nuclear RNA, 322 nt
Filed under: Microcebus murinus (gray mouse lemur)
Lineage: Eukaryota; Metazoa; Chordata; Mammalia; Primates; Cheirogaleidae
Description: 7SK RNA (ENSMICG00000023476.3)
Rfam family: 7SK RNA
About the family: 7SK was discovered as an abundant small nuclear RNA in the mid-70s but a possible function has only recently been suggested.
Source: RNAcentral
GGAUGUGAGGUGAUCUGGCUGCCACAUCUGCCACCCCAUUAAUUGCCAGGGUUGAUUCAGCUGAUCUGGGUGGCUAGGUGGGUGUCCACUGCCUCCCUCACCUCUCCAUGUGCAUCCCUCCCAAAGCUGCAUGGUUGGUGGAAGAGGAUGACCUUCCCCAAUAGAGGACUAUUCUUCGGUCAAAGAUAUAUGAGUAGCUGCGCUCCCCUUCUAGAACCUCCAAACAAGCUCUCAAGGACAGAGUUCUGGGACUUAGAAACUGUAAGAGGUAAAGGAGAUGAGGAGAAACCAUCUCAGAAGACUGAGAAGAGCUAGUGAGCUG